RNAcentral lists this ribosomal RNA (492 nucleotides) under uncultured bacterium. RNAcentral describes it as "partial 16S ribosomal RNA". It matches the Rfam family "Bacterial small subunit ribosomal RNA", at positions 29 to 507 of the family's 1533-position model. The record is from RNAcentral.
AUUGAACGCUGGCGGCAUGCUUUACACAUGCAAGUCGAACGGUAACAGGCCUUCGGGUGCUGACGAGUGGCGAACGGGUGAGUAAUUCAUCGGAACGUACCCAGAGGUGGGGGAUAACGCAGCGAAAGCUGUGCUAAUACCGCAUGUGAUCUGAGGAUGAAAGCGGGGGACCGAGCAGCAAUGUUUGGCCUCGCGCCUUUGGAGCGGCCGAUGUCGGAUUAGCUAGUUGGUGGGGUAAAGGCCUACCAAGGCGACGAUCCGUAGCUGGUCUGAGAGGACGACCAGCCCCACUGGGACUGAGACACGGCCCAGACUCCUACGGGAGGCAGCAGUGGGGAAUGUUGGACAGUGGGCGCAAGCCUGAUCCAGCAAUGCCGCGUGCGGGAAGAAGGCCUUCGGGUUGUAAACCGCUUUUGGCAGGAACGAAACGGUGUCCGCUAAUACCGGGCGCUAAUGACGGUACCUGCAGAAUAAGCACCGGCUAACUACGUG